CCUACGGGAGGCUGCAGUGGGGAAUAUUGGACAAUGGGGGGAACCCUGAUCCAGACAUGCCGCGUGUGUGAAGAAGGCCCUCGGGUUGUAAAGCACUUUCAGUGAGGAAGAACGCCUGGUGGUUAAUACCCAUCAGGAAAGACAUCACUCACAGAAGAAGCACCGGCUAACUCCGUGCCAGCAGCCGCGGUAAUACGGAGGGUGCGAGCGUUAAUCGGAAUUACUGGGCGUAAAGCGCGCGUAGGUGGCUUGAUAAGCCGGUUGUGAAAGCCCCGGGCUCAACCUGGGAACGGCAUCCGGAACUGUCAAGCUAGAGUGCAGGAGAGGAAGGUAGAAUUCCCGGUGUAGCGGUGAAAUGCGUAGAGAUCGGGAGGAAUACCAGUGGCGAAGGCGGCCUUCUGGACUGACACUGACACUGAGGUGCGAAAGCGUGGGUAGCAAACAGGAUUAGAUACCCCUGUAGUC
RNAcentral lists this ribosomal RNA (465 nucleotides) under Vreelandella stevensii. Its description in RNAcentral is "partial 16S ribosomal RNA". It matches the Rfam family "Bacterial small subunit ribosomal RNA", at positions 338 to 795 of the family's 1533-position model. The record is from RNAcentral. Lineage: Bacteria; Pseudomonadati; Pseudomonadota; Gammaproteobacteria; Oceanospirillales; Halomonadaceae.